Molecule: ribosomal RNA, 423 nt
Filed under: Triticum aestivum (bread wheat)
Lineage: Eukaryota; Viridiplantae; Streptophyta; Magnoliopsida; Poales; Poaceae
Description: partial small subunit ribosomal RNA
Source: RNAcentral
AUGAAUAUGCUCAGUUGGAACUGCCGGGGGGCGGGGAACUCCCGGACAGUUUGUGAAGUAGCGCCGUUUAUUCAGUCGCAUUCCCCCGGUUUGGUCUUGUUGUGUGAAACAAGACAAUCAAAAGAAAAUAUGAAAAGACACCGCGCUAAAUUUGGUCUGAAGGGUUUUGAUGGUACUGAUAGUAAUGGUAACAAUGGAGGAUUAGCUCUAUAUUGGCAUGAGGGGAUUACAGUAGAUGUGAUUUUCUCAAAUGAGAGAUGCAUUGAUGCUCAUGUUAAGCUGGGACCAGAGGAGGCACAAUGGAGGUUAACAUGUGUGUAUGGGGAAUCCAGAGCGGAAGAUAGGCAUAAAAUGUGGUCUAUGCUAAAUAACCUCAGUACCCAAUCUGGCCUUCCCUGGCUUGUGGGGGGGGGGGGAUUUUAA